GACGAACCGUGCGAACGUUAUUCGGAAUCACUGGGCUUAAAGCGCGUGUAGGCGGGUUGGCGCGUCGGUCGCUGAAAGCCCCCGGCUCAACCGGGGAAGUGGCGCCGAAACGGCCAGCCUGGAGGGGGGUAGGGGGGCCUGGAACUUCCGGUGGAGCGGUGAAAUGCGUUGAGAUCGGAAGGAACGCCCGCGGCGAAAGCGAGGCCCUGGACCCUUUCUGACGCUGAGACGCGAAAGCCAGGGGAGCGAACGGG
Molecule: ribosomal RNA, 254 nt
Filed under: uncultured bacterium
Lineage: Bacteria
Description: partial 16S ribosomal RNA
Rfam family: Bacterial small subunit ribosomal RNA
Source: RNAcentral